AUACGUAGGUGGCAAGCGUUGUCCGGAUUUACUGGGCGUAAAGGGCGUGUAGGCGGUUUACACAGUCAGAUGUGAAAUCCCCGGGCUUAACCUGGGAGCUGCAUUUGAUACGUGUAGACUAGAGUGUGAGAGAGGGUUGUGGAAUUCCCAGUGUAGAGGUGAAAUUCGUAGAUAUUGGGAAGAACACCGGUGGCGAAGGCGGCAACCUGGCUCAUGACUGACGCUGAGGCGCG
This 233-nucleotide ribosomal RNA is filed under the name uncultured bacterium. RNAcentral describes it as "partial 16S ribosomal RNA". It matches the Rfam family "Bacterial small subunit ribosomal RNA", at positions 523 to 755 of the family's 1533-position model. The record is from RNAcentral.